GCUGAUCACAUCGACGUACGGACUAGAUGACCUGCUGCAGAAGCCGACGGACAGGGUGCCCCGAGACUGCGUGUGUUCACCCAAGUACCCCCACGUCUUUUCUUCGAUCCAAAGCUCUUUCCCUUUCGUUCGCCCAUCGCAGGAAGCGCAACCCUAACAACAUCUCCCUCCCCCUCUGCUGCCGUCGUUGGUAUUUCGCCUGAAUUCAUACCUCCGCCGUGUGUGGUGGAGUUGAAUUGGUCGGCGUUGAGGUCCUCCGCCGAUCUCUCUUUCGGUUCCUUCUCUGAUCCUCUCUCCAUCUCGUGCUUGGCAUCCUUCUGGUAGAAGGAUGACGGAAGACAGGAGUCCGAAAUAUCCCGAUGAACCCCCGCGGUGACCGCAGGCCUGGAGAUUCAGAAAUGCACUGGUGCUGUUGUUAUAACAAGAGGCAAAGUACCAUCCUCCUAAUGGAUUGUGAGACAGUGAGGAGCCACUGUAUCUCCUUAUAUCUGCAGGGGCUCAUGUAUGUAGUAUUUCUUGAUUAUAGGAUCUGAUUUACACAAAUCAUUGGCAAGAACAGAAUAUAUGUUUAGUUUUUCUGAAACAUUUUAUUUUUCUGCAUGGACUUGUUGUAUCUAUGAUUGGUAUCUGUAUAAGUGUUCAAUCUGUUCAUGUCAAGAAAAGUUACUAUGCAUUUAAAUGUGAAUAAUAUAUUUUUUUGUGGUUCGUGUCACAUUUCAUCUAAUUAAUCAGACCAAUUCUUGAUUAUUGAGUGUCAGUGAAUUCUUAUGUGAUGCCCAGAAAGUGAAACUGUGAAACUUAACAACUAAAAGAAUUUCUAAAUAAAGAAAGUGUACUAAUUUGAAAGAGAGGUCUAUGUUGUGGCUUCAAGCCCAACUGUUAACCUGAACUUCAAAAACUAUGUUAAUUGAAAAUGGAAGUCUACUUAUGGAUAAUAUUCUCCACUCGAUUUUGCUGUAUAGGACAAUUUCUUAUCAAGUAAUUCCACAUAUCUCAAUUUCUCUGUUAUAAUGUCAUACUUCAGUAUUAAUCCUUAUUGCUAGUGUUCGUUUUGUUCUUGGAGGACCUCCCUGAGAUGAGUAUCAUGACUUCCAGGAUACCUUUAAUACGUGAUGACAUGUUUAUCUAGCAUGGUUUGUAAACAUAUGAUUCUUUGGCCAUAUCAGAAAUACCUUGUUUGCUUCUAUGAGGCAUGAUUUUGGAUUACCAAACAAGACGCAAAUAUACAUGUACCCAAUCAUUGAUUACUAUACAGUUCAAGAAUGGGGUACUUAUAAUGAAGUUGUCAUUUCCAUAAUGUGUUUGAUUGUGUUGUUGUAUAUUAUGAUAAAUUAUAGCAAAAAUUAGCUAACAUGCCUGGCUGUCAUCAUGAAAGGAAUUAUUUUUCUUACACUAUAUUUCAAUAACAUCGAGAGGAUAACAAGAUGUUGCAAAAAGUAAAGCUAGCUAAAAUCCCUAUUUUAACUUUUCAUAUUAUAAUGAAGAUUAAAUCAUGAUUAAUGAUAAUAGUACAAAGUUCACUCAGGUUAAGAUGUGGUCCAUGAUCUGCCAAGACAUUGAAGGGAGUAGGCUUGGAUGAUUGUGAUGGGAACAUCCUCAAGCAAAAAUUAACAGCAUUUCCGUAGGGUUGUAGGUGUUUUAGUGGACAUCUUGAAACAAGGCCAGAACCUCAGACAUCUUUUACCCCUCUUUACUCAGUUUUGUUUGAUGGGCUGGUAUUAAUCUUUUAUUGCAUCAUUGCAUGGGAAAGUUGAUUGUGAUGCAGAAGGAAAUUUUUUGGGAGACAGGUUAGGCAAGCUCUGAGUAAAUAUUUGUUUCUGGGCUUUGAUGCUGACCCUUCAUUCGAUAUUGCAGCUUGUAUUUGAGGUCCAAAUGUAUGCAACCUUCUUGCAUAAAUCUUGUAGUUGACAGCUCUGCAGAGUCAUCUUCACAAAGUUCCUUUUGGGACUUGUUCGAACUUGUAACUUUGUUGGAUUAUAUAUCUCACUGACAUGGCUGACGGCAGUCUACUGCAAUUAAUAGCGCUUCUGGCUUCAUUUGUUGAUGUUCUAUUUCAUUUUCUAAGUGGAUCUUUUAAUAUUUGUCCCUUACCCAUCAUUAAAUGUGACUAAUACUUCAAGCUCUCCAUGACAUCUCCAUGUUGGUUAGAUUGUUUUUGUGUUGCUGGUGGUUUGGAUUUGUGUAUGCACUAUGCAGGACCUCUAUAUAAAUCACAUCAUGAAUGAAGCAGGGGCUACUGUUGUACUAAGAGGAAGAGGGUCUGAACAUCAUGAUUGUUUCAAAUGAAGCACCAUUGCAACCCCUGCAUUUAUCUCUGUUAAGUACUAAUCCAAAAAGUCUUGAAGCUGCCAAGAUCUUACCAGAAAACCUUUUGGACAGUUUCCUCUGGAUCUGAUGCUUCAAGCUUUAAGGCACCUUUGGUGUAGGAUUCCAUCAAAUAAGAUUAUGGUGCUGUUCCUCCACCAACAGUUGUUGGUGGGAACAGAAAGCUCAUCAGACGUUGUAUCUUUCCAUCCACUUCCACUGGCUCUAUGGCAGGAGUUCCAAUAGCUUACAGGCACCAUUGUCUGCCCUCAAGGAAUAGCCACUCACUCUGGAGACAUGUUGAAAUAUGGGAAUUCCCACAAACUUGGUUAGCUAUUAUGCUCCCUGCAGUCACUAGAGCGACAUGUUAUAAUGGCUAUGAAGGCAUAUAACCCCAGGCAAUGCCAUUGCAGGGAGUGGUUUUAGUACUCUGCUUGUGUCAUUCACAAGUUCCAUAGUGAGCACAACUGAAGAGUAAGUCAAAAAUUCAAAUGAAACACGGCCUCCACAACUACAUAAAUUUCAGGAGUUGCCUGUUUCUUUAGGGAUGUUAAACUGUUCUUCAGGCAGAUAACCUACGGAUUUGCAUUUGUCACGGGUUUAAGCGCAGCAGUUUGGUAAAAGCCAGGAGUUGACCUUUGCUGUCAACAACACCGGUUCGAUUUCUAGUCACCAGUAUGCGCUAAUAGACAUUUCAUUUCAUGAUGAUUUGGUAUUCUCUUUGCUUUUCAUGCAUAAUUGUGCUGCAUAUUAGUCAUCUUAGAACUUUUCAGAUCACUACCUAAUGUCCUUCUACCUGUUUGCUUUCUGAACUUUGAUCUAUUUGUUCCCAUGACUUAUUUUAAACCUUUGAUACUCAUCCGAUAUCUAUAUAAUUAUGGUAUUGAGCAAAUGGGGUUUUCUAGUUUGCUUCUUCAGAACUCACAAGUAUCAGAAUUUCUCAAGCCAGCUCGUGAGGGUUUAGAGGUGUGAGGGCUGUCUCAUCCAUGCUGCUGCUGCCGAAGAAGUUGGUAGAUGGUGGACUAAAAUGGGACACAACCUCUGCCAAGGAACAUGCCUCCCCCGCCACCAAAGUUCUCAUCGUCUCAAUCACUCCCCAGGCACCAACAAUGACGACAAGGAUUCGAGUGAAUCAAAUGGUUUGCCACAAUCUUCAAGAAAUGUGCCUCCACCACCUCCCAAGCUUUCAGAUCCCCAACUCCCUCCAAGUGCUAAAAGCAGGAGCAUGGAUACCUCCCAAGGUUUUCAUUUUGGUCUUUCUCAAGAGUGUUUUUUUGCUUUCGACAUCUUAGGAUGCGUCAAUCUUUUUGGAAGAAUGUUCAGUUUAGUCUUGCCAGUGUAUUACCCUGAAAAUUCUAGCAAUGAUUGUUGUGAAACUCUACCCAGUUCUAGUUUACAUAUGUGACUUGGAAAGUUGUAAUGUUACUACUACUAUUUCCUUUUCCUCUA
Long non-coding RNA from Musa acuminata AAA Group (dessert banana), 3753 nucleotides. RefSeq lists it as uncharacterized. The transcript is spliced from 6 exons. The record is from RefSeq and is a predicted model, not a curated record. NCBI's taxonomy places the organism in Eukaryota, Viridiplantae, Streptophyta, Magnoliopsida, Zingiberales, Musaceae.